RNAcentral lists this ribosomal RNA (825 nucleotides) under uncultured Mycoplasma sp. RNAcentral's name for it is "bacterial SSU rRNA". It matches the Rfam family "Bacterial small subunit ribosomal RNA", at positions 561 to 1398 of the family's 1533-position model. Lineage: Bacteria; Bacillati; Mycoplasmatota; Mollicutes; Mycoplasmatales; Mycoplasmataceae. The record is from RNAcentral.
UAAAGCGUUCGUAGGCGGUUUGUUAAGUCUGGAGUUAAAGACUGGGGCUCAACCCCAGCCCGCUCUGGAUACUGGCUGACUAGAGUUACAUAGAGGUAAGUGGAAUUCUUAGUGGAGCGGUGGAAUGCGUAGAUAUUAGGAAGAACACCAAUGGCGAAGGCAGCUUACUGGAUGUACACUGACGCUCAGGGACGAAAGCGUGGGGAGCAAACAGGAUUAGAUACCCUGGUAGUCCACGCCGUAAACGAUGAUCAUUAGCCGCUAGAAUAUUUAGUGGCGCAGCUAACGCAUUAAAUGAUCCGCCUGAGUAGUAUGCUCGCAAGAGUGAAACUUAAAGGAAUUGACGGGGACCCGCACAAGCGGUGGAGCAUGUGGUUUAAUUUGAAGAUACGCGUAGAACCUUACCCACUCUUGACAUCUUCCGCAAUACUAUGGAGACAUAGUGGAGGUUAACGGAAUGACAGAUGGUGCAUGGUUGUCGUCAGCUCGUGCCGUGAGGUGUUAGGUUAAGUCCUGCAACGAGCGCAACCCCUGUCUUUAGUUACUAACGGAUAAUGCCGAGGACUCUAGAGAGACUGACUGGGUAACCAGUAGGAAGGUGGGGACGACGUCAAAUCAUCAUGCCUCUUACGAGUGGGGCAACACACGUGCUACAAUGGACGGUACAAAGAGAAGCAAUAUGGUGACAUGGAGCAAACCUCAAAAAACCGUUCUCAGUUCGGAUUGAAGUCUGAAACUCGACUUCAUGAAGUUGGAAUCGCUAGUAAUCGUAGAUCAGCUACGCUACGGUGAAUACGUUCUCGGGUCUUGUACACACCGCCCGUC